CCUACGGGGGGCUGCAGUAGGGAAUAUUGCAUAAUGGGCGAAAGCCUGAUGCAGCAACGCCGCGUGUGCGAUGAAGGCCUUCGGGUCGUAAAGCACUUUUAGAGGGGAUGAGGAAGGACAGUACCCUCUGAAUAAGCCUCGGCUAACUACGUGCCAGCAGCCGCGGUAAAACGUAGGAGGCGAGCGUUAUCCGGAUUUACUGGGCGUAAAGCGCGUGCAGGUGGUUUGGUAAGAUGGAUGUGAAAGCUCCUGGCUUAACUGGGAGAGGUCGUUCAAUACUGCUAGACUUGAGUGUGGAAGAGGGAGGUGGAAUUCCGGGUGUAGUGGUGAAAUGCGUAGAUAUCCGGAGGAACACCAGUGGCGAAAGCGGCCUCCUGGCCCACAACUGACACUCAGACGCGAAAGCUAGGGGAGCGAACGGGAUUAGAUACCCCUGUAGUC
This 441-nucleotide ribosomal RNA is filed under the name uncultured bacterium. Its description in RNAcentral is "bacterial SSU rRNA". It matches the Rfam family "Bacterial small subunit ribosomal RNA", at positions 338 to 795 of the family's 1533-position model. The record is from RNAcentral.